Molecule: long non-coding RNA, 468 nt
Organism: Lampris incognitus (smalleye Pacific opah)
Lineage: Eukaryota; Metazoa; Chordata; Actinopteri; Lampriformes; Lampridae
Exons: 3
Source: RefSeq, a predicted model, not a curated record
UCUUUUUUUUCCUCCCUCCUCUCUCUUGACUGCACCCCCCCCCCCCCUCUGGAUCGGCAUAAAUGAAUGAAACACAGGGGGACUAUCGAAAGACGCGGGGGAAACUUUCUGUCAGACCAACCUGCGGGACGACCCGGGAGUUUAUGUCGGACUUGAUAGGCGAAUCGAUAUGAGCUUUUUCCUCCGGAAGUUUAUCCGCGGCUCCUCAGAUGUGUAAGACGGCGGCUGCUGCCUCCUGCCCCCCUCGCGAAGGAGUCACGCUGUGAUUAACGGAUCAGGUUUUUGACUGCCAGGACAAAUGAAUACAAAUGAAUUUAGGGAUCCGAAGGAGAGAUUGCAGAACCUCUCAUCUCGACACAAAGAGAGCCCUAUUGCUCUGUACAGUUUUAUAUUGUACUUUUUACCUGGGACUUGCACAAGUACACUCUGAAGAUGUGGACAUCCUCCAAAAGCUGGGGCUUAAGGGAG